This 500-nucleotide ribosomal RNA is filed under the name uncultured bacterium. RNAcentral describes it as "partial 16S ribosomal RNA". It matches the Rfam family "Bacterial small subunit ribosomal RNA", at positions 30 to 523 of the family's 1533-position model. The record is from RNAcentral.
AUUGAACGCUGGCGGCAUGCUUUACACAUGCAAGUCGAACGGUAACAGGGUGCUUGCACCGCUGACGAGUGGCGAACGGGUGUGUAAUGCGUCGGAACGUGCCGAGUAGUGGGGGAUAACGCAGCGAAAGUUGUGCUAAUACCGCAUACGUACUGAGGUAGAAAGUGGGGGACCUUCGGGCCUCACGCUAUUCGAGCGGCCGACGUCUGAUUAGCUAGUAGGUGAGGUAAAGGCUCACCUAGGCGACGAUCAGUAGCGGGUCUGAGAGGAUGAUCGUCCACAAUGGGACUGAGACACGGCCCAGACUCCUACGGGAGGCAGCAGUGGGGAAUUUUGGACAAUGGGCGAAAGCCUGAUCCAGCCAUGCCGCGUGUCUGAAGAAGGCCUUCGGGUUGUAAAGGACUUUUGUCAGGGAGGAAAUCCCUAGUGCUAAUAACACUGGGGGAUGACAGUACCUGAAGAAUAAGCACCGGCUAACUACGUGCCAGCCGCCGCCGUAA